This 509-nucleotide ribosomal RNA is filed under the name uncultured Lachnospiraceae bacterium. Its description in RNAcentral is "partial 16S ribosomal RNA". Lineage: Bacteria; Bacillati; Bacillota; Clostridia; Lachnospirales; Lachnospiraceae. The record is from RNAcentral.
CACGUAGUUAGCCGGGGCUUCUUAGUCAGGUACCGUCAUUAUCUUCCCUGCUGAUAGAGCUUUACAUACCGAAAUACUUCUUCACUCACGCGGCGUUGCUGCAUCAGGGUUCCCCCCAUUGUGCAAUAUUCCCCACUGCUGCCUCCCGUAGGAGUCUGGGCCGUGUCUCAGUCCCAAUGUGGCCGUUCACUCUCUCAAGCCGGCUACUGAUCGUCGCCUUGGUAAGCCCGUUACCUUACCAACCAGCUAAUCAGACGCGGGUCCAUCCCAUAGCGAUAAAUCUUUACAAAACAGGACCAUGCGGUCCCGCUUUCCCAUGCGGUAUUAGCAGCCGUUUCCAGCUGUUCGUCCCCCUCGUAGUGGGGCACGGUUACCCACGCGUUACUCCACCCGUCCGCACUCAGUCAUCCCAUAUCGUCCUUCCCUUCCCCAGCAAGCUGGUUCUGUCUGCGGGUGGAUGUCUUCGUUCGACUUGCUAGUGUUGUAGGCACCGGCCCGCCGAGUCCGUU